GGAGGGUGCGAGCGUUGUUCGGAAUUACUGGGCGUAAAGCGCGUGUAGGCGGCCUUGCAAGUCAGGCGUGAAAGCCCUCGGCUUAACCGGGGAAGUGCGUCUGAAACUGCUUGGCUUGAGUACGGGAGAGGGAGGCGGAAUUCCCAGUGUAGAGGUGAAAUUCGUAGAUAUUGGGAGGAACACCGGUGGCGGAAGCGGCCUCCUGGACCGAUACUGACGCUGAGACGCGAAAGCGUGGGGAGCAAACAGGAUUAGAUACCCUGGUAGUCCACGCGGUAAACGAUGGGCACUAGGUGUGGGGGGUAUCCACUCCUCCCGUGCCGAAGCUAACGCAUUAAGUGCCCCGCCUGGGGAGUACGGCCGCAAGGUUA
RNAcentral lists this ribosomal RNA (371 nucleotides) under uncultured bacterium. RNAcentral describes it as "bacterial SSU rRNA". It matches the Rfam family "Bacterial small subunit ribosomal RNA", at positions 527 to 896 of the family's 1533-position model. The record is from RNAcentral.